RNAcentral lists this long non-coding RNA (1367 nucleotides) under Mus spicilegus (steppe mouse). Its description in RNAcentral is "lncRNA (ENSMSIG00000025238.1)". Lineage: Eukaryota; Metazoa; Chordata; Mammalia; Rodentia; Muridae. The record is from RNAcentral.
AUGAUCCAUGUGCCUCCUAUAAAGGGAGGGGUCUGUCACAAGUGUUACGGAUUGAAUGCUACGUUUAUCUUCCAACAUAGGAAGCCUGCCAGCAGACAGCCAUGGUCUAGCUCAUGCCAACCCUGUGCUAAAGGCUGUGUGUCCUUGGAGGUGUUUGAUUUAGUAUGAUGCAGUGUUAAUGAAGUAAAUGGAAGACUUACAGUAAGUACUACGAGAGUUGAGGGAAAGUACCGGGUAAUACGGUAAGUACUGCAUGCAUUUGGUGAGCAUUACAGCAGGUAAUUGAGGUAGCCUUGUUAACAGGCUAAUGUAGCGUACAGGAAUACAGUCAUUUAGGUGGGUUUUGUUUUUGAUAAUUUGACCUUGGUAUGUUAAUCUUUCUUAAUACCUUUUUUUCCCCCAAAUGUUAAGCAAAAAUUGCAUCUUAGUACCAAGUGAAUCUGUUCAGUGGUGAUUGGUCAGACUCACUGCCACAGUGCAGCCCUGAUCUUCCUGUUUAUAUAGGAAGUAGAAGUGUUGGACUGCUUUAAAAUGAUGAAAUGUUAGAAAAUGAAAAUCCCUCAAUAACAUAUUUUAUUCAUCUUAAAGACAUUCGGUCUUGCUCAUUUUUAAAAACCUACUGUAACAUUUUAAACAUAGGUUUGUCUUUAAAAGGAUGUCAUUCACAAGUAAUUUUCAUUUUUGGAUAGGGCUAUUACUUUGAUUUCAUUUGGUUUAUAAAAAAAUUAAGGGACAGCAAUACAUUUAGAAGCCAUAUAAUUCAGCCUUAGAUUACAGGGUUCUUGCACACAUUCAGUUCUGGGUAAUGAUAGAGUCUAGCAAAAGGAAGCACUGAUUGACCUUAGGGAAAACUAGCUGAAGAAUGGGAGAAUCAAACUUUGAUAAUUCAACGACGUUGUGCUGAAGCCACUUAAUACACAUUUUGCAACAGGAUUAUUUAAACAACUGUCAAUGACAACUGUAACCUUUCUCGCUUAAGAAAACAGUGUUAGCUAACCACAGCCCAUGCUGCUGGGAUGCUAAAGACAACUCUGAUAUUAAUAAGUAACAUCUACACAUUAACCCUCUUGGAACAGGGUCUUAAGUGCUGCUGACGCCAUUCUUUCCGAAACUCAUCAAAUAAUUGGGAGAAGUCUGAGGAAAUCAAUCCCUAUUAAAUAGUUAACCAUAGGCAUAUUUGUCUUAGCAAACAAAAUGCUUUCAAAAUGUUCCACUUUUGAAAUUGCUUAAAUCUUUUAUGUUGACCCAGUGACUUUGUUUGCAAAGGUUAACUGAAGUGGAGUUAAGCAAUUGUUUUGCACAUUUGAACACUGUAAAUGAUCGUACAGGCUAAAAUGAAUAAAGUGAAUUUUUAAAGUUAAUGAACA